GACGAACGCUGGCGGCGUGCUUAACACAUGCCAGUCGAACGGAAAGGCCCUGCUUUUGUGGGGUGCUCGAGUGGCGAACGGGUGAGUGACACGUGAGUAACCUGCCCUUGACUUUGGGAUAACUUCAGGAAACUGGGGCUAAUACCGGAUAGGAGCUCCUGCUGCAUGGUGGGGGUUGGAAAGUUUCGGCGGUUGGGGAUGGACUCGCGGCUUAUCAGCUUGUUGGUGGGGUAGUGGCUUACCAAGGCUUUGACGGGUAGCCGGCCUGAGAGGGUGACCGGCCACAUUGGGACUGAGAUACGGCCCAGACUCCUACGGGAGGCAGCAGUGGGGAAUAUUGCACAAUGGGCGGAAGCCUGAUGCAGCAACGCCGCGUGCGGGAUGACGGCCUUCGGGUUGUAAACCGCUUUCGCCUGUGACGAAGCGUGAGUGACGGUAAUGGGUAAAGAAGCACCGGCUAACUACGUG
RNAcentral lists this ribosomal RNA (468 nucleotides) under uncultured bacterium. RNAcentral describes it as "partial 16S ribosomal RNA". It matches the Rfam family "Bacterial small subunit ribosomal RNA", at positions 28 to 507 of the family's 1533-position model. The record is from RNAcentral.